CCCCCCUCUCUCUUCCUCUCUUCCACUCUUGAAGCCGACCCAAUUCCUCUCCUCUUGGCUGCAGCCGCCCACUCCCCAUCAAACCCUAGCCACCCCUUCCCCAAUCCCCCUCCCAAGGUGUAGCCCCUGUCCUUUGGGAUCUCCAUUGAGUGGUGCAAGCCUCUAAUUGGAGAAUUGGUGGAGGAAGAACAAAGAGGUGAAGGAAUAACUCAAGGUGAUCUUAUGUUUAUUUUGUAUUUUUGCUGCGAUUACGUUUGAUUAACCGUUCCCCUAAGCGAAUUGGUGGUAGUGUUGUCCUGAUUUUGGGUGGCAGGCGGACAGAAGUAUUGUGGGCAGUUUCUGGGGUUUUUGCGGCGGUAAUUAGCUGUAAUCACUAUGAUAAUCAUGUAGAGCUUUGUCAUACCUUUCCAACGAGUACUUAUGUGCUCGAUUCGCAGUUAUAAUUUAUGAGAUAUCUCUGUUUGAAUCCGGGUAUGUUGCUGUCCAAAAAACAGAUUUCCGCAGGUGGGCGAACAGCAUUAGUAUUAGCAGAUUCUGGGUAUUUUUCGUGGGAAAUUAGUGAUAAUAAAUAUGAUAAUCAUGUAGAGCUUUGUCAUACCUUUCCAACGAGUACUUAUGCGCUUGAUUCGGAGUUAUAAUUUAGGAGCUAUCGCUGUUUGAAUCCGGGUACAUUGCUGUCCAAAAACAGAUUGCAGGAUGUAUCUUGUGGACGGUUUUGGGCUAAGUAGAUGUGGAAAUUUAAUUAUCUUUGGAAUACAAAACUUGUGGGGAAUUUUAUGUAGAUGCUUCUGGAGUUUUUGAUUGAUAUCACUGCUAUUAUAAUUUUAAAGUUAUGAAAUUAUCAAGCAGCGCCGCUGCAAUUUGGUGGUGAUGGGGAGAGUUGUCGCUCGCGACGGGUUGGAAUUGUGCGUAGGUGCGGCAUGUUUAUUAGCGUUUGUUAUGUGAAUUUGUGCACUAAGGUGUGUGUCAAAAACAGGUGGUGGACUUCCGGAUCGUACAUAGUACCAUUCCAAAUUUCCGGUGAAGGCAAGUAAAUACAGUGGUGGUUGCUACCGUUUGGUUUGCAUCCUAUUCCCUGUCAUUGAGUAUGCAUAAGUUUUUAAUAUAUUAAUCAUUGAAUUCUAUGAUGAAGUUUAUUGGUUUGAAAGUAUUAAUUCUCAAUUGUCUAAUAUUGUGGAUGAUCAUAAUUUGAUAAUGAUAUAUGUGGUUGAUUCCCAUCUUGGAUGAAGUUGAAGUGUCUUUUUGAAUCACGUUAUAUGAAGUGUUGUAGGCAUAUCAUGCACAUCGCAUCAUCCAUCUUGCAUUUUGAAGUUAUGUCGUGAUCUUAUGGUCCGACCGUACCGGUACAUUUUUAGCAUCGUACGUUGCCCGAGGAGGGGUACGAUGCGGCUUCAUAUCCUUAGAGGUAUGAAGGCAGAAGUCAUCCUUGCAUUUGCAGACAUUUGCACUCAUGAGGAAUAUAUGAAGUGUGACAUUACUAUGUUACUAUUGUGGUUUCUACCUGCGAGGUGUGGUAACUAGGUGUGUUGUACGUUGUAUACGUGCUGCACCUUCGUAAUAAGAAGGUUGUGGAAUCAAGUGGUGGUAAAACAAUGUUCUUAUGUGGUUGAACAGUUUGAUAUUAUUUUACUUGCUGAGAUGUGUCAUCUCACUCUUGCAUUACUCAAUGCAGGUACUUGAUACAUGUUGGGAAUGAGGGGAGUAGCAGCACGUCCACUUUCACUCUCACAAUAACGCUGCCCAGGCGUAGCCAUGAUUUAAUUAGAAACUUAUUGUCAAAGGAAGUUUGUUUUUUAUAUAGUCGUGCGCACUGGUUAAUUCAGUUCAGGUCGUAUGUUUAUCUUCCCUUGCUAGCCGAUUAAUAAUACUUAGUAUGUUUUUGUCAUGAUAUAUGUUUAUACCCUGUUGCCCCCUCAUUUAUGCAAUCUUGCAAAGGGGGUGCUGCCGAAAUUUUAUAUAUGGACGUCGGAAGUGUAGUUCAGUAGCAUUCCGGGUUGUUUGUGGAACCCAGGGUGUUACAGUUGGUAUCAGAGCAUAGGCUUUAGAUUCUACGCAAUUUGAAGAUAAAUUUGACACACUUGCACAUAUAGGAAGGGUAUGGGUUCAUAUAUCUUUCAUAUUAGUAUUUUAUUGUAUAGAUGGCUAGAAUUUCCUUACUCCAAAUCCCUUUAUGGUUUGAUGGGGUAUGUCGUUAACGACGUAAUGCUUGAUAUGAUAUGUUACUUCUAUUUAAUAUUGGUUUCUUGAUGUGGUUGUUAUUGAAAUUAUUAUGCAAGUGAAGCUACUAAUGUACUUGUUUUAUAUACAUAUCGUCAUGAUGUUUUUUUUGGAUGCAAUGUUUACUAAUCUCUGAGCUAUUACUAUCAUACAUUUAUGUAUGCUUGACUGUGGAUGUUUUUUUCCAAAAGGAUUCUUGGGUUCUAGUACUUGUAGGACCGAUUGUUUAUUGAGCUUGUGUAUAGAGGAUCUAAUCCGACUUGGUGUAAUGUGAAAACACUAUACAAUGUAGUUUUAUGGUGUUGUUGAGUUUGAUUGACUGUUGGGUUACAACCCAACUUAUCAAUGUAAUAUUUCCAUGGGUGCAGUGCUUUACACCUCACCUUUUUUUUGUCUAGUGUGGCUACUUGCCAACUUGAUCUUAGAGUACAAUAGGUUUGUCUCCAUAGAUAAAGGCAAUGUUGUACUGUCUAUGAAAUCUUGAGCCUGGUAGAACUCAAGUGAAUUUGUAAGAUGACGUGGAUAGAUAACUUCAACCAUGUUUACAUGAUAGGUUUUCUUAUUUGUGUGCAACCUUAUCUUUAAUAAUAAAUAGGGUGAUUUCAAAUGGAUUUUAUGUCUAUAUUAUAGUUGAAGAGGCAUGCAUGUUUUCCUUCUUUGGUUUGUUUCUAUAGCCAAAAAGGUUAUGCAUAAUUUUUAUUUGUUGGAGGCUAGUCAUGUGGACGAUAUGGACAACCCGUUUUAUAUUGUUUUUAAUCGCCGAUGAUAUAUGGUAGUUUUUUUAUAUGAUCAGUUCUCUAUGCAUGCUUGUUGAAUUAUUAUUUGGACCGCUUUAUCUUAAACAAAGUCAAUGUUUAACUGGAAGUUGCUUAUGUUUGUUAGUCAUCUAUCUCUAUAAUGAUGUGGUUGUUGCAUCAGAUGGAGAUUUUUUAUAUGAAUGAUGGUUUGAUAGAUCAUGUAUGUCUACUACUUUGAAGUCAUCCUAUGACAUCACGAGGUACAAAUUGUUCAAGUGCAAUAAUAGGAGGUAUUGUUGUAUGUGAGGUUAAUCAAGGUAGUUUGGUUAGGUGGAUUGUCUUAUUGAAGUCCAAUUACUCCUGUUGAGCAUAGUAUCGUGUUAUUAUUUUAGUGUUGAAAGUAAUAUUUAUGAAGCUUUUGCAUGAGUCUGUGUCAAGAAGUACAUUAGUUUUUCUUGUUGUUAUCCCUCCAUUGCUUCAUGAGUAUUGCAAAUUUUAUCUCUUUUGAGAGGAGAAAAAGAUGUUAUAUGACAUGAGCACCAUUUGCUUCACGUCAACAUAAUAGUUUUGGAGAUUUCUAGUAGUUGGAUUCUAGUGUAAUAACAACCAUGUUUUAUAGUGCUGGAGACGGGUAUGUCACGUGUUUCAUACAUUGUCGAUACAUGGAUGUUUGACCUUAGUGGCAUUAACAAACGAGGUUGUUGAAUUCAUUGAUUGUUGUGCUUAGUGUUCUAACCUAUUUGGUAGAGUGUUAUUUAAAGACUUUGUGGAGUUGCAUCCCAGUUUGGUAGUGGAAAAUCCUAAUGUUGAUUGCACCUGCCAAUGACUUGGGUUUUAUUUUAUAUUGUUUUUUAUUGUUGAUAAUGUGUUGUUUGGUUUUGGGAGGCAUUUUAAAUUAGUUGGAGGCUGAAUCAGGCUUCACUUAUCUAGAAUGUUUUGUAGUAUGUUUCUUCAUCUUUCCAUAGGAUGCUUAAUCACCAUGUUUGGUCUAAACAUUUGAGAGAUAUGGGUUUCUUAAAACAUCCUUGUUGGUGUCUCUAGCAGAGUGAGUCUUUAAUUUUGUACGGAAGAGUAGACAUUGAAGACGGUAUAAUUUGGUCUUUGUGGAUUAUGAAAGUUUUAGUAAUUUCAUGAUCUUUUCAAAGAGUAUUGGUUUCUAAUUCUCAUUGCAUAUAAUUGGAGUUAGGUUGCUCUGAAGUUGUCGCACUGUUGUGUCUGAACUUUAGGCGUCGUUAUAAUCACCAAUAAAUCGACCGCGUUUUGAUAGUUGCAGAGCCCAAAUUUGCGAAUUAUCUUUAAGCAAAACUUGUAGGUCUUUUCAGUACCUUUUUAAUGGGUAUUUACUUGUAACUGUCUGUUAAAUAGAUUUGGAGAGGUGGUUGCCCGGAUAUAAGUCGAAUCUCUAAUGUGCAGUAUCUCAGGCUGAGUUUAGCUGUAGGUCAUGCAGAGUUGAGGGCUAUAAGGAUAAAUUUGGGUGCAACUUUAUUGCAAAAGUCGUGGACAAUUUUCAAAACUUUUCCAACGCGUGUUCGUUGUAGUUUAAGUUGAGUAUAGCAGGAGUUAUAGGUUUUUGAAUUUUAGUUGUCCAUUGUUUCAAUUCUAUCAGUUUUGCAACAAAAGAGUUGCAUUGUUUUAUCGGUUUGGAAACCAAUUCCGAGACACUCAUUAUAAUAAAAGUUCUAGGGAAUGUUAUAAUCUUUUCAAUGAGUUUAUAUUUGCAAAAUUUUGUUAGCUGCAGGGAGUUAUGAUAUAAUGUAUAGAAUGUGCUUGGAUGAAUAUGUGGGCAGACAUAACAUGCUUAAAUUGAUUCUUGUUUGCAUGAUGUGAGAUUAGGCUUAAAUGAUUUAGAAAGUUAUCAUAUUGCUUCUAUACUUAUAUUUGUUCUAGGUGCCUCGUAAUGAAGAACCUAAAGUUAUUAGUCUUUCAAUGAACGCUUAAUCUUAGAAGAGUAAUGAACCUGAUAAAAUCUAUUGCUUGCUGUAGGGACUGCAUGACCAGUUUUAGUUAUGCAGCUAGUUCAAUGAAGUAAACCAUCUUUUCUAUAGAGAUGUUAUAUAUAAAAGUUGUAGCCAACUUCUUUAUCUUACUUGUGUAAAAAUUUCAUGACCAUAGGUCUAGUAGUUUGGGAGUUAUGAUUUUCUCAAGUCCAGUCUUGAAAUCUGUGCAGAUUCUGUACAGAUUUCGAAGCUGACCUUGUUUGCCCAAUUUAAACUUCGAAUAACUUAUUAUAAAUUAUAAAGAAGUUGUAGUACUUUUCUUAAUCUUUUCAACAAAUUUUGGAUUACUUUUUUUGGAGAUCUAUAAGUUAAGUUACAGUUGUUUUAAGUGUGAUGUCUGAAUCUGUCCAAAUUUGGACAGCAGAGCCUUUCUCGUGUCUUUUGACCUUGAUAUGCAUUGAAUUAACUUGAUAUGUUUAUAAAUGAAUUAUAGACAAUUCUACUAGCUUUCUAAAAAGUCUGGGAGCACCUGAAUUGGAUGAUUGAGACUCCAAUUAUGGAUUUUUGAAUUGAGUAGUUGAAUUAUGUCCAAGUCUGGACAUAAUUUACGUUUAGCAUUGUUUGACCUUUCUAAGUGACAAAUCUUGUUGUGAUGAUAAUACCAAGGGUAUAGUGGACUUUAUAAGCUUUCCAUAAAGUCCUAGUUUACUAAUUUUUGAUGCAUAUUUUGUGAGUUAGGAGCAAAACAAUUAACUGCUGUGCUGCUAUCUAGAAUUAUGCAAGCAUUAAGUUGCUCUCUUGAAGUUGCUCUUGUUUGGCUAAGUUUGGUUUAGGCUAUAGGAACAUUAUAUGCCUUGCAUUCAUAUAUACAUUCCUUGAAGUACUUGCAUAUGUCAAUGAUUGAUUUGGUGUCAGGAAAGCUUGGUCCGAGGUAAAUAGGACCGUCUACUAUCUUGGCCGAGUUGGCAGCUGGGCUUAGCACAUGUAAUUGUCGGAAUCAAUGAUCAGAGUACACCAUGUAUUCCAUUCUUUAUGUUGAGGAAGUAUUUGCGGAAUCCAGACCAUCAAAUCGAGCUAGAGCCGAUUCCUGUGUAGCAAGACCAGACUCUAGAGUGUCGUCUGCUGCGUAUCUUAGAAUCCUAGGAGCUUGAGGUGCUGAUGCGGCAGAAGUACUUGAACUUUUCUUUAUGUGUGAGUUUUGUUGAUUCAUUAAUCUUUCUUUUGUUGUUCCGAUAGAAGCGUCAGAAUUCGAGGUCGAAUUUUUUUAAGGGGGGUAGAGUGUGAUACCCAAUUUUCUGAAAAGAAGUUAAAUUUAUUUUUCCCUUUUCUUUCGUGAUCUGUGUAGUUGGGGUUGGAGUUUUUUAGGAAGCAUUCACCAGUAAAACAGUAGAAUACUUGUUGGACUUGUGCGCUGGGGUCAGGAGCAGACGUGAGAGCGAUUUUGGGCCGUGGAUCUCGAUCAUGCGGUGGGGAGCCCAUUAGUUUCCCCCUUAACCCUAGCCGCCCCCUCCCUCUCACUCCCCCACCCCUUUGGCCGCCCCCCUCUCUCUUCCUCUCUUCCACUCUUGCAGCCGACCCAAUUCCUCUCCUCUUGGCUGCAGCCGCCCACUCCCCAUCAAACCCUAGCCACCCCCUUCCCCAAUCCCCCUCCCAAGGUGCAGCCCCUGUCCUUUGGCAUCUCCAUCGAGUGGUGCAAGCCUCUAAUUAGAGAAUUGGUGGAGGAAGAACAAAGAGGUGAAGGAAUAACUCAAGGUGAUCUUAUGUUUAUUUUGUAUUUUUGCUGCGAUUACGUUUGAUUAACCGUUCCCCUAAGUGAAUUGGUGGUAGUGCUGUCCUGAUUUUGGGUGGCAGGCGGACAGAAGUAUUGUGGGCAGUUUCUGGGGUUUUUGCGGCGGUAAUUAGCUGUAAUCACUAUGAUAAUCAUGUAGAGCUUUGUCAUACCUUUCCAACGAGUACUUAUGCGCUCGAUUCGGAGUUAUAAUUUAGGAGAUAUCUUUGUUUGAAUCCGGGUAUGUUGCUGUCCAAAAAACAGAUUUCCGCAGGUGGGCGAACAGCAUUAGUAUUAGCAGAUUCUGGGGAUUUUUCGUGGGAAAUUAGUGAUAAUCAAUAUGAUAAUCAUGUAGAGCUUUGUCAUACCUUUCCAACGAGUACUUAUGCGCUUGAUUCGGAGUUAUAAUUUAGGAGCUAUCGCUGUUUGAAUCCGGGUACGUUAAGUUGCUGUCCAAAAACAGAUUGCAGGAUGUAUCUUGUGGACGGUUUUGGACUAAGUAGAUGUGGGAAUUUAAUUAUCUUUGGAAUACAAAACUUGUGGGGAAUUUUAAGUAGAUGCUUCCGGUGUUUUUGAUUGAUAUCACUGCUGUUAUAAUUUUAAAGUUAUGAAAUUAUCAAGCAGCGCCGCUGCAAUUUGGUGGUGAUGGGGAGAGUUGUCGCUCGCGUCGGGUUGGAAUUGUGCGUAGGUGCGGCAUAUUUAUUAGUGUUUGUUAUGUGAAUUUGUGCACUAAGGUGUGUGUCAAAAACAGGUGGUGGACUUCCGGAUCGUACUUAGUACCAUUCCAAAUUUCCGGUGAAGGCAAGUAAAUACAGUGGUGGUUGCUACCGUUUGGUUUGCAUCCUAUUCCCUGUCAUUGAGUAUGCAUAAGUUUUAAAUAUAUUAAUCAUUGAAUUCUAUGAUGAAGUUUAUUGGUUUGAAAGUAUUAAUUCUCAAUUAUCUAAUAUUGUGGAUGAUCAUAAUUUGGUAAUGAUAUAUGUGGUUGAUUCCCAUCUUGGAUGAAGUUGAAGUGUCUUUUUGAAUCACGUUAUAUGAAGUGUUGUAGGCAUAUCAUGCACAUCGCAUCAUCCAUCUUGCAUUUUGAAGUUAUGUCGUGAUCUUAUGGUCCGACCGUACCGGUACAUUUUUAGCAUCGUACGUUGCCCGAGGAGGGGUACGAUGCGGCUUCAUAUCCUUAGAGGUAUGAAGACAGAAGUCAUCCUUGCAUUUGCAGACAUUUGCACUCAUGAGGAAUAUAUGAAGUGUGACAUUACUAUGUUACUAUUGUGGUUUCUACCUACGAGGUGUGGUAACUAGGUGUGUUGUACGUUGUAUACGUGCUGCACCUUCGUAAUAAGAAGGUUGUGGAAUCAAGUGGUGGUAAAAUAAUGUUCUUAUGUGGUUGAACAGUUUGAUAUUAUUUUACUUGCUGAGAUGUGUCAUCUCACUCUUGCAUUACUCAAUGCAGGUACUUGAUACAUGUUGGGAAUGAGGGGAGUAGCAGCACGUCCACUUUCACUCUCACAAUAACGCUGCCCAGGCGUAGCCAUGAUUUAAUUAGAAACUUAUUGUCAAAGGAAGUUUGUUUUUUUAUAUAGUCGUGCGCACUGGUUAAUUCAGUUCAGGUCGUAUGUUUAUCUUCCCUUGCUAGCCGAUUAAUA
This 8299-nucleotide long non-coding RNA is filed under the name Zea mays. RNAcentral describes it as "long non-coding RNA (ZMAY_LNC004356)". Lineage: Eukaryota; Viridiplantae; Streptophyta; Magnoliopsida; Poales; Poaceae. The record is from RNAcentral.